This 309-nucleotide long non-coding RNA is filed under the name Equus caballus (horse). Its description in RNAcentral is "lncRNA (ENSECAG00000054026.1)". The record is from RNAcentral. Lineage: Eukaryota; Metazoa; Chordata; Mammalia; Perissodactyla; Equidae.
CCACAGCCAAAUGUGGAGAAGAGGACCUGAAGAGUUGAUCUGAAGUCUUUAUCUUGUUCCUGCCCAUGUCAGCAAAGACAUUGGCUCAAAACCCUUUCUAUCUUAGAAUUCAUAUGGCGCCUUAAGCUACUGUGAUCUGUUCAGCCUUCUGUGGCUACAUAUGUCUCCAAGCAGAGUGAUCGUUCCUAACAGCAUGAACUCCACAUUAUCGUCUUCCUUGCCUUUUGAAUCACUCUAAAUUAAGUAGCGGCCGUGUGCACCGACAGGAGAAAAAACUGCUUGGGCUCAGCGGAACUAGCCACAGUUUAC